RNAcentral lists this small RNA (520 nucleotides) under Pongo abelii (Sumatran orangutan). RNAcentral's name for it is "processed transcript". Lineage: Eukaryota; Metazoa; Chordata; Mammalia; Primates; Hominidae. The record is from RNAcentral.
AAGAAAUAAAAUCGGGGUGUUCGGGUUGGAGAGUUAGCAGGGGCAUCUCCAGGAGGGUCCUGCCCCCCACCCCAAAGCCGGCCUCAGGGAGUUCCAGGCGUUCCCACACUCCCCGGGCAGGGCCGUGGACGCAGCGCAGACAGGAAGCCGCCCGAGAUAACGCUGCGGCCGGGCGGCCUGAUUUGCUGGGCUGUCUGCUGGCCCGGGCCGAGGCUUCUCCCCGCGCCUGGGACUGCGGCCGCCUCUCUAAAUAGCAGCCAUGAGGCGCCUGGGGGCAGUGUCCUCGCGGGCCAGCGGCGGGCAGGACGCCCCGUUCGCCCAGCGCGUGCUCAGGAGUUGGUGUCCUGCCUGCGCUCAGGAUGAGGGGGGAUCUGGCCCUGGCGGGCGUUCUAAUCAGUCUGGCCUUCCUGUCACUGCUGCCAUCUGGACAUCCUCAGCCGGCUGGCGAUGACGCCUGCUCUGUGCAGAUCCUCGUCCCUGGCCUCAAAGAGAGAGUUCUGCAGGUCAGGCAUGGGUGAGA